This is a long non-coding RNA of Mauremys reevesii (Reeves's turtle), 808 nucleotides long. RefSeq lists it as uncharacterized. Lineage: Eukaryota; Metazoa; Chordata; Testudines; Geoemydidae. The record is from RefSeq and is a predicted model, not a curated record. The transcript has 2 exons.
CCCGCGGCAGAAAGCUGCUUCCUCCGCAGCGACGCCUCCUGGUGGACGUGGGGCGGGACGGGGUAUUCGAGAGAAAGCGAGUCCGGAGGGUGGAAGCCGGAUUUCUGCCCCUCGCCCGACAAAGAGCGCUGUAGUUCAAGCGUCCAGGCCUCUGACAGACACCUGAGGGGCCGGUCUCUGUCUGAGCACUUCAGCAACACUUGGAUAGCUGGUCACAUCAAUGGAGUCUCAUUGAACUGAAUUGGCUGCACAAGGCACUUGAGGUCAGGGCCUGAUUCUCCUCUCACUCACACCUGUUUAAUUCCAUGGACUUUGUCUAUGUCGGUGGCACCGAGACCAUGUAAAGAGCGAGAUAAAAGGAGUCUGCGCUGCUUUUAGCUGCGGGAGAUGCUCCUUUACCAAGGUCCCAGGUUCGAUCCCGCCCGCCAAUGAGCGGGGUCUGUCGUGUUACACAAGCAGAUGUGCUAUUCCUGUGUGGACGCUCUUACUCCAGAACAAAAGCUUCCAGACCUGCAGUUAAUUGGGAAUAACUCCCCUUGUAGACAAGGCUUAAGUGAGGCAGCUGGGCCAGGAGACUCGGCGCCUCCGUUUGCUAGCAGGCGGCGAGAAUGUUGCUUCAGUGCUUGCUGCUCAAACGGAGAGCAGCCAGCGCGGGUGGGCCAGGCAGGUACAGGUGGCUGCAGAACAUGUCUGGGACCAGUGGACAGCUGACUGAGACAGAAAAACAGGAGUGCAAGGGGGCCUUGUCCUCCUGAGGGUGAGCUUGCCGGAGGAGCCUGCUUCGUGAGAAUAAAAGCCCAGACCCGCA